AGGAACAUGCAAAAACUUGAAUGGUAAUGCACACAUUCAAGAGAGAGAGAGAAGAAACUAGGGACUGAGAGUAAGAACUUGGCACUGAAGUUUCACAGACAUUUACUGAUCUGAGAUGAUUAGAAGAAUUUCUAUGGGCCGACAUAAAUAUUUUGCAGUCAGAUCAAAUCAAAAGAGAGAAAUUAUCACUGGUCGGACUCAUUAACUUCAGUUCAAGAAUUAAUUAAAUUUACGCAAUCUGUUUUUGAAGAUGAAAUAUAGCAAAAUUAAUUAAGACUUCAUGAACGACGUAGGAUAUUUUGCCCUUUUAAAUGCGAAGAAAAUUGUCCAUAAGCAAACAUAAUAUAACACCUUAAGGCUUACUGAUCACACUGUGUACAUUUUCUAUUAGCUUUUUUCCUAUAGGAAUACAGACAGAGUGAAGUCUUUCUAUUUAUUUAUUGAUUGUUUUUUUU
This is a long non-coding RNA of Xenopus tropicalis (tropical clawed frog), 455 nucleotides long. RefSeq lists it as uncharacterized. The record is from RefSeq and is a predicted model, not a curated record. Lineage: Eukaryota; Metazoa; Chordata; Amphibia; Anura; Pipidae. The transcript is spliced from 3 exons.